This 497-nucleotide ribosomal RNA is filed under the name uncultured bacterium. Its description in RNAcentral is "partial 16S ribosomal RNA". It matches the Rfam family "Bacterial small subunit ribosomal RNA", at positions 28 to 507 of the family's 1533-position model. The record is from RNAcentral.
GACGAACGCUGGCGGCGUGCCUAAUACAUGCAAGUCGAGCGAACAGACGAGGAGCUUGUUCCUCUGACGUUAGCGGCGGACGGGUGAGUAACACGUGGAUAACCUACCUAUAAGACUGGGAUAACUUCGGGAAACCGGAGCUAAUACCGGAUAAUAUAUUGAACCGCAUGGUUCAAUAGUGAAAGACGGUUUUGCUGUCACUUAUAGAUGGAUCCGCGCCGCAUUAGCUAGUUGGUAAGGUAACGGCUUACCAAGGCAACGAUGCGUAGCCGACGUGAGAGGGUGAUCGGCCACACUGGAGCUGGAACAGGGUCCAGACUCCUACGGGAGGCAGCAGUAGGGAAUCUUCCGCAAUGGGCGAAAGCCUGACGGAGCAACGCCGCGUGAGUGAUGAAGGUCUUCGGAUCGUAAAACUCUGUUAUUAGGGAAGAACAAAUGUGUAAGUAACUGUGCACGUCUUGACGGUACCUAAUCAGAAAGCCACGGCUAACUACGUG